Small nucleolar RNA from Choloepus didactylus (southern two-toed sloth), 75 nucleotides. The record is from RefSeq and is a predicted model, not a curated record. NCBI's taxonomy places the organism in Eukaryota, Metazoa, Chordata, Mammalia, Pilosa, Megalonychidae.
UGUCAAUGAUGUGUGAAUUUCUUCACCUGAAAUUACUGUGAAGGGUAAAACCGGAGCUUUUUAACACUGAGCCAC